CAGUAGCCGCGGUAAUACGGAGGGUGCAAGCGUUAAUCGGAAUUACUGGGCGUAAAGCGCACGCAGGCGGUCUGACAAGUCAGAUGUGAAAUCCCCGGGCUUAACCUGGGAACUGCAUUUGAAACUGUCAGGCUGGAGUCUUGUAGAGGGGGGUGGAAUUCCAGGUGUAGCGGUGAAAUGCGUAGAGAUCUGGAGGAAUACCGGUGGCGAAGGCGGCCCCCUGGACAAAGACUGACGCUCAGGUGCGAAAGCGUGGGGAGCAAACAGGAUUAGAGACCCGGGUAGUCCCUGUCUCUUAUAC
RNAcentral lists this ribosomal RNA (301 nucleotides) under uncultured bacterium. RNAcentral describes it as "partial 16S ribosomal RNA". It matches the Rfam family "Bacterial small subunit ribosomal RNA", at positions 509 to 807 of the family's 1533-position model. The record is from RNAcentral.